RNAcentral lists this ribosomal RNA (253 nucleotides) under uncultured bacterium. RNAcentral describes it as "partial 16S ribosomal RNA". It matches the Rfam family "Bacterial small subunit ribosomal RNA", at positions 524 to 776 of the family's 1533-position model. The record is from RNAcentral.
UACAGAGGUCCCAAGCGUUGUUCGGAUUUACUGGGCGUAAAGGGUGCGUAGGCGGUUGGGUAAGUCUGACGUGAAAUCUCCGGGCCUAACCCGGAAACUGCGUUGGAUACUAUUUGACUAGAGGAAUGGAGGGGAGACUGGAAUACUUGGUGUAGCAGUGAAAUGCGUAGAUCUCAAGUGGAACACCAGUGGCGAAGGCGAGGCUCUGGACAUUUCCUGACGCUGAGGCACGAACGCCAGGGGAGCAAACUGA